RNAcentral lists this ribosomal RNA (511 nucleotides) under Candida albicans. Its description in RNAcentral is "eukaryotic LSU rRNA". It matches the Rfam family "Eukaryotic large subunit ribosomal RNA", at positions 94 to 615 of the family's 3401-position model. Lineage: Eukaryota; Fungi; Ascomycota; Pichiomycetes; Serinales; Debaryomycetaceae. The record is from RNAcentral.
UGAAGCGGCAAAAGCUCAAAUUUGAAAUCUGGCGUCUUUGGCGUCCGAGUUGUAAUUUGAAGAAGGUAUCUUUGGGCCCGGCUCUUGUCUAUGUUCCUUGGAACAGGACGUCACAGAGGGUGAGAAUCCCGUGCGAUGAGAUGACCCGGGUCUGUGUAAAGUUCCUUCGACGAGUCGAGUUGUUUGGGAAUGCAGCUCUAAGUGGGUGGUAAAUUCCAUCUAAAGCUAAAUAUUGGCGAGAGACCGAUAGCGAACAAGUACAGUGAUGGAAAGAUGAAAAGAACUUUGAAAAGAGAGUGAAAAAGUACGUGAAAUUGUUGAAAGGGAAGGGCUUGAGAUCAGACUUGGUAUUUUGCAUGCUGCUCUCUCGGGGGCGGCCGCUGCGGUUUACCGGGCCAGCAUCGGUUUGGAGCGGCAGGAUAAUGGCGGAGGAAUGUGGCACGGCUUCUGCUGUGUGUUAUAGCCUCUGACGAUGCUGCCAGCCUAGACCGAGGACUGCGGUUUUUACCCU